GGUUACACUUAUGAUACAAUGAAAAAAGUUCGGUAAUUAAUUAAUAAGAGUUGUGAGUAAGAUUUUAAUUUUAUUAAGUGAAAUUUUUAAAAUUGAUGGAUAUUUUUAUUAUUUUUAUGAGGUUAAUAAGUUUAGAUUUUAGACUAGGAUUAGAUACCCUAUUAUUCUAAAUCAAAUAGUAGUUACUUGGUUAGUAGUAGUUAUGGUCUUGGAAAUUAAAGAAGUUGGCGGUAUUUUAGUCUAUUCAGAGGAACUUGUCCUAUAAUCGAUGGUCCACGAUUUUUUUUACUUAUUUUAUUAGUUUGCAUAUCGCCGUAGGUUGAAUAUUUUUGAAAAAUUGGUAAUGUUCAAUAAUUUUUAUAAGAAAAGAAUUCAGGUCAAGAUGUAGCUGAUAAAUAAGAAGAGAUGAGUUACAAUGAAGAUAUUUAUACGGAUUAGUAGAUGAAAUUUUACUGUGAAGAUGGAUUUGAGGGUAAUUUUAUUGAGAUUAAUAAAAUGAUUCUAGCUCUAAAAUAUGUACA
Molecule: ribosomal RNA, 521 nt
Filed under: Exophthalmus sp. GZ148
Lineage: Eukaryota; Metazoa; Arthropoda; Insecta; Coleoptera; Curculionidae
Description: partial 12S ribosomal RNA
Source: RNAcentral